AAGGUCCGUUGGUGAACCAGCGGAGGGAUCAUUACCGAG
This 39-nucleotide ribosomal RNA is filed under the name Fusarium graminearum. Its description in RNAcentral is "partial 18S ribosomal RNA". Lineage: Eukaryota; Fungi; Ascomycota; Sordariomycetes; Hypocreales; Nectriaceae. The record is from RNAcentral.